AGCGAGCACUCGAAAGAGAGAGAGAGAGAGAGAGAGAGAGAGAGAGAGAGAGAGAAGUGCCGUCGCAUGUGCAGGACCAAAAAGUGCAGAGGAAAAUUAGCUUGUUAUCCUCCAAAGAAGCUUCACCUUCAGAGAGAAGCGUGAGGAGGCUGAGAAACAGGAGGAAGACGUUGCUUCUCUGGUGAUUUAAGGGUGACAUGACAAGCCUCUCGUCCCUCAAAUCCCAGCUAGUUUCUGACAGCGUUUCACAGCUGUGACGGGAGUUUCUGCUGUCGGGUGUCUCUGACUGUGUUCGGUGGAUUGCAGCCAGGAUUUACAACAGAAGAGGGGAUCAAGGGCAGGAGCGGGAACAAAAGUCUCCUCAUCCCCCCUCUGACCCGCAGAUCCGAACAGGAACUUUUGCUGGGAAGCUCUUUCCCGAGAGCAUGGAUGGAUUUAUGACUAUGUGCUGAGGAUAUUGGAUGAACAAUUGACGGCACGUUUCUUUAACGUUCUCUCCACCGUAUCUCACAGCCGGUGCUCCUGCCAUGUCCUGGCUCCUGUGUCUGUGGAUAAGUGUUAACUGCUUACUGCUGUGCCACGCCACUUUGUACGAGACCAUCCAGCAGCAUCAUGUGACCCACCCGGGCCGCAACACCAUACAGAUUCUGGAGGGAGGAACAUGUGAGGUCAUCGCAGCACACCGAUGUUGCAACAAGAACCGCAUUGAGGAGCGUUCCCAGACGGUCAAGUGCUCAUGUUUACCGGGAAAAGUGGCCGGCACAACACGGAACAAACCCUCCUGUGUAGACGCCUCCAUCGUGAUUGGGAAGUGGUGGUGUGAGAUGGAGCCGUGUCUGGAGGGAGAGGAGUGUAAGACACUACCAGACAACUCCGGCUGGAUGUGUUCCUCUGGGAACAAGAUCAAGACCACGAGGAACACCCAGCCAUAUUCAACAUUUUAGCUCUGAGGACCACCAAAGCUGGCUCGCCAGAAGCUCAGUGGCGUCCUUCUCCUCAUCAAGAUUCAUCCCCGGACCUAACAAAGAGCUCUUUCACAGGCAGUGAAUGUGGAUUCUUUCUGUCAGAAUGGACGAAACCAUUCAUUCAAAGGGGUGUUUGACUGGAUUACCUGUGACUGAACAAUAAAAAAGGACAUUCUCGGGGAUAAAGAUGAGAUUUGCUCGUUCAGUGCCAAGGAAUAUGACAAAUAGAAAUAAAGCAGGCUAAUCUGUGUUUUUGAUCAAUGAGCCCAACGCUGCAGACUCGACCGUGUCCAAUUCUCUUGAUUUUUUUCUGCGUUUCUCCUGACCACCUUCCUCUGGUUCUAAACUCAUACAGCUUAGGGGAGCCUAUUUGAAGACUUUGCCUCCCUAGGUAAACUGGACAAUCCUGAUUUAAGCUGUGAAUGACUGUAUGAAGGCUCAUGAUGGAUAAGCAAUGGUCUGUGAAAAUGAGGUGGAAAUCAAUAGGAGAUUUUUUUUUUCCAUCCCAGCAUCAGUUUGUCGUUCCACGUCGGCUUUGGUAACAGACUAGGAGCUUGUGAAGCCCUGCUAUUUCCCUUUCACUUCUGAGUUUACCGCUCACCGCUAGUGUCCCACAUGCUGUCCGUUUGGAAUUCCCCCAAGUCAAAGGUCACCUCACUGUCUACUUGGGCCAGAUAUCUUUUUAUUUGUCAGCAUGCUCAAUGUAUUUUGUGGGAGCUUUGUAUUGAAAGUAACUGUAUAUAUUUCUGUAUAUAUACAUAUAGAUACAUAUUAAAAGACAUCAUAUGAAGAUCUA
Sinocyclocheilus grahami is the source of this 1761-nucleotide RNA transcript. It is a transcript of the gene named protein FAM19A1-like, with no coding region annotated. The transcript is spliced from 6 exons. The record is from RefSeq and is a predicted model, not a curated record. Lineage: Eukaryota; Metazoa; Chordata; Actinopteri; Cypriniformes; Cyprinidae.